UCCGGGAAACCGGGGCUAAUACCGGUGGUUGUUUGAACCGCAUGGUUCAAACAUAAAAGGUGGCUUCGGCUACCACUUACAGAUGGACCCGCGGCGCAUUAGCUAGUUGGUGAGGUAAUCGGCUCACCAAGGCAACGAUGCGUAGCCGACCUGAGAGGGUGAUCGGCCACACUGGGACUGAGACACGGCCCAGACUCCUACGGGAGGCAGCAGUAGGGAAUCUUCCGCAAUGGACGAAAGUCUGACGGAGCAACGCCGCGUGAGUGAUGAAGGUUUUCGGAUCGUAAAGCUCUGUUGUUAGGGAAGAACAAGUACCGUUCGAAUAGGGCGGUACCUUGACGGUACCUAACCAGAAAGCCACGGCUAACUACGUGCCAGCAG
RNAcentral lists this ribosomal RNA (381 nucleotides) under Bacillus subtilis. RNAcentral's name for it is "bacterial SSU rRNA". It matches the Rfam family "Bacterial small subunit ribosomal RNA", at positions 148 to 514 of the family's 1533-position model. Lineage: Bacteria; Bacillati; Bacillota; Bacilli; Caryophanales; Bacillaceae. The record is from RNAcentral.